This 86-nucleotide non-coding RNA is filed under the name unclassified sequences. Its description in RNAcentral is "S15-Halobacteria ribosomal protein leader". It matches the Rfam family "S15-Halobacteria ribosomal protein leader". The record is from RNAcentral.
CCGGGAACCGCACGGCCGCAAAUCCGACCUGUCGAUUCGGGCGCGUCGACUCGACCCGCCCGGACGACUUGGGAUUGCGGAAGUGC